AUUAGAAUAUUUAAAAGGUAUAGCCGCGCGGCUAUACUCCGUAAAUAUAUUAGAAUAUUCAAAAGGUAUAGCCGCGCGGCUAUACUCUGUGUACAUACUCGA
This 102-nucleotide microRNA precursor is filed under the name Prunus dulcis (almond). RNAcentral describes it as "sRNA ncRNA". Lineage: Eukaryota; Viridiplantae; Streptophyta; Magnoliopsida; Rosales; Rosaceae. The record is from RNAcentral.